Long non-coding RNA from Bos taurus (domestic cattle), 426 nucleotides. The record is from Ensembl. NCBI's taxonomy places the organism in Eukaryota, Metazoa, Chordata, Mammalia, Artiodactyla, Bovidae.
GGCAGUUGGGGGAGGAAGGAAGCACUAAGAGAAGCUCAGUCUGGUUCCUGAGUCUUUUGCUACGUGACUUUGGAUGGCACAAUUAAUUACCCAUGGCAAGGUUUUCAGGAAGAUAAACUUUGGGAAAGGACACCUGCAGUAGCACCAGUAAAUAGUCACCUGGGGCCACAUGAUCCAGACCUCUGUGGGCAGUGUUGUAAAGUGGACUAUGAUAAGUGCGGAAUGAGGCUUCUUCUCAUCCCAAUUGAGAAUAUGAGGACACUGAGACCCAGGGAAACUGAAUCAUCAGAGUUCUGCGGCAGUGCCUGUUCACGAUGGGAAUGGCACAGAGAAAUUUCCACUUCUGACUUUGUCUAAUCUGUACUCUGUUUUCCUAAUUUCAAGUCCAGAAUUUAAGCCACAGGCUAGACACUAUUGGAAAUAAAC